The sequence is a transfer RNA, 90 nucleotides long. It matches the Rfam family "tRNA". From Rfam's summary of the family: Transfer RNA (tRNA) molecules are approximately 80 nucleotides in length. Their secondary structure includes four short double-helical elements and three loops (D, anti-codon, and T loops).
GGAGGGUUCGCAUAGUGGACUAGUGCAGCCGCCUUGAAAGCGGCCAGGCCAGCGAUGGUCUCGUGGGUUCGAAUCCCACACCCUCCGCCG